RNAcentral lists this ribosomal RNA (406 nucleotides) under uncultured bacterium. RNAcentral describes it as "partial 16S ribosomal RNA". It matches the Rfam family "Bacterial small subunit ribosomal RNA", at positions 30 to 526 of the family's 1533-position model. The record is from RNAcentral.
AUUGAACGCUGGCGGCAGGCCUAACACAUGCAAGUCGAACGAGUGGCGGACGGGUGAGUAAUGUCUGGGGAACUGCCUGAUGGAGGGGGAUAACUACUGGAAACGGUAGCUAAUACCGCAUACUAUCAGAUGAGCCCAGGUGGGAUUAGCUAGUAGGUGGGGUAAAGGCUCACCAAGGCGACGAUCCGUAACUGGUCUGAGAGGAUGACCAGUCACACUGGAACUGAGACACGGUCCAGACUCCUACGGGAGGCAGCAGUGGGGAAUAUUGCACAAUGGGCGCAAGCCUGAUGCAGCCAUGCCGCGUGUAUGAAGAAGGCCUUCGGGUUGUAAAGUACUUUCAGCGGGGAGGCGUUACCCGCAGAAGAAGCACCGGCUAACUCCGUGCCAGCAGCCGCGGUAAUAC